UACGUAGGCAGCGAGCGUUGUUCGGAGUUACUGGGCGUAAAGGGUGUGUAGGCGGUUGUUUAAGUUUGGUGUGAAAUCUCCCGGCUCAACCGGGAGGGUGCGCCGAAUACUGAGGGACUCGAGUGCGGGAGAGGAAAGUGGAAUUCCUGGUGUAGCGGUGAAAUGCGUAGAUAUCAGGAGGAACACCGGUGGUGUAGACGGCUUUCUGGACCGUAACUGACGCUGAGACACGAAAGCGUGGGUAGCAAACAGG
RNAcentral lists this ribosomal RNA (253 nucleotides) under uncultured bacterium. RNAcentral describes it as "partial 16S ribosomal RNA". It matches the Rfam family "Bacterial small subunit ribosomal RNA", at positions 524 to 776 of the family's 1533-position model. The record is from RNAcentral.